AGCAGCCGCGGUAAUUCCAGCUCCAAUAGCGUAUAUUAAAGUUGUUGCAGUUAAAAAGCUCGUAGUUGAAUUUCGGGGUUAGUAGGCUGGUCGUGCCACAGGUAUGUACUGGUCUUACUGACUUCUCCUUUCUGAAGAACUGUAAUGCCAUUAAUUUGGUGUUGCAGGGAAUCAGGACUGUUACUUUGAAAAAAUUAGAGUGUUUAAAGCAGGCUAACGCUUGAAUACAUUAGCAUGGAAUAAUGAAAUAGGACGUUCGAUCCUAUUUUGUUGGUUUCUAGGAUUGACGUAAUGAUUAAUAGGGAUAGUUGGGGGCAUUAGUAUUCAAUUGUCAGAGGUGAAAAUUCUUGGAUUUAUUGAAGACUAACUACUGCGAAAAGCAUUUGCCAAGGAUGUUUUCAUUAAUCAAGAACGAAAGUUAGGGGAUCGAAGACGAUCAGAUACCGUCGUAGUCUUAACCAUAAAACUAUGCCGACUAGGGAUCGGAUGAUGUUAAACUUUUUUAAUGACUCAUUCGGCG
RNAcentral lists this ribosomal RNA (520 nucleotides) under uncultured Glomus. RNAcentral's name for it is "SSU rRNA". It matches the Rfam family "Eukaryotic small subunit ribosomal RNA", at positions 569 to 1085 of the family's 1831-position model. The record is from RNAcentral. Lineage: Eukaryota; Fungi; Glomeromycota; Glomeromycetes; Glomerales; Glomeraceae.